RNAcentral lists this transfer RNA (66 nucleotides) under Neolema sp. EMHAU-15071012. RNAcentral's name for it is "tRNA-His". The record is from RNAcentral. Lineage: Eukaryota; Metazoa; Arthropoda; Insecta; Coleoptera; Chrysomelidae.
AUUCAAAUAGUUUAAAUAAAAAUAUUGAUUUGUGGAGUCAAGGAUAUAAUAAAAUUAUUUUGGAUA